GAUGAACGCUGGCGGCGUGCCUAAUACAUGCAAGUCGAGCGAACAGAUGAGGAGCUUGCUCCUCUGACGUUAGCGGCGGACGGGUGAGUAACACGUGGAUAACCUACCUAUAAGACUGGGAUAACUUCGGGAAACCGGAGCUAAUACCGGAUAAUAUAUUGAACCGCAUGGUUCAAUAGUGAAAGACGGUUUUGCUGUCACUUAUAGAUGGAUCCGCGCCGCAUUAGCUAGUUGGUAAGGUAACGGCUUACCAAGGCAACGAUGCGUAGCCGACCUGAGAGGGUGAUCGGCCACACUGGAACUGAGACACGGUCCAGACUCCUACGGGAGGCAGCAGUAGGGAAUCUUCCGCAAUGGGCGAAAGCCUGACGGAGCAACGCCGCGUGAGUGAGUAAGGUCUUCGGAUCGUAAAACUCUGUUAUUAGGGAAGAACAAAUGUGUAAGUAACUAUGCACGUCUUGACGGUACCUAAUCAGAAAGCCACGGCUAACUACGUG
RNAcentral lists this ribosomal RNA (497 nucleotides) under uncultured bacterium. Its description in RNAcentral is "partial 16S ribosomal RNA". It matches the Rfam family "Bacterial small subunit ribosomal RNA", at positions 28 to 507 of the family's 1533-position model. The record is from RNAcentral.